This 484-nucleotide ribosomal RNA is filed under the name uncultured bacterium. Its description in RNAcentral is "partial 16S ribosomal RNA". It matches the Rfam family "Bacterial small subunit ribosomal RNA", at positions 30 to 507 of the family's 1533-position model. The record is from RNAcentral.
AUUGAACGCUGGCGGCAUGCUUUACACAUGCAAGUCGAACGGCAGCACGGGCUUCGGCCUGGUGGCGAGUGGCGAACGGGUGAGUAAUAUAUCGGAACGUACCCAGAAGUGGGGGAUAACGUAGCGAAAGUUACGCUAAUACCGCAUACGAUCUAUGGAUGAAAGCAGGGGACCGCAAGGCCUUGUGCUCCUGGAGCGGCCGAUAUCUGAUUAGCUAGUUGGUGAGGUAAAGGCUCACCAAGGCGACGAUCAGUAGCUGGUCUGAGAGGACGACCAGCCACACUGGAACUGAGACACGGUCCAGACUCCUACGGGAGGCAGCAGUGGGGAAUGUUGGACAAUGGGCGCAAGCCUGAUCCAGCAAUGCCGCGUGAGUGAAGAAGGCCUUCGGGUUGUAAAGCUCUUUUGUCAGGGAAGAAACGGUAGAGGCUAAUAUCCUUUGCUAAUGACGGUACCUGAAGAAUAAGCACCGGCUAACUACGUG